ACAACACCCGGCCACCCCAGGUGGGAUUUGGGAGGCUCAGGUGGGAUUUGGGCCAGUCCAGGUGGGAUUUGGGAGGCCCAGGUGGGAUUUGGGAGGCCCAGGUGCGAUUUGGGCCGGCCCAGGUGGGAUUUGGGAGGCCCAGGUGGCAUUUGGGCAGCCCAGGUGGGAUUUGGGCCAUCCCAGGUGGGAUUUGGGAGGCCCAGGUGGGAUUUGGGAGGCCCAGGUGCGAUUUGGGCCAGCCCAGGUGGGAUUUGGGCCACCCCAGGUGGGAUUUGGGCCACCCCAAGUGGAAUUUGGCAGUCCCAGGUGGGAUUUGGGCCAGCCCAGGUGGGAUUUGGGCCAGCCCAGGUGGGAUUUGGGCCAGCCCAGGUGGGAUUUGGGCCACCUCCCCCAGCCCCACUCACAGCUGGCGUCGCCCUCCUGGCCCAGGAUUUUUCGGUAGCCGCCGUGGGAGAGGAUGCGCACGAGGGUCUGGGCCGUGUAGCACACCAUGUCC
Prinia subflava (tawny-flanked prinia) is the source of this 496-nucleotide long non-coding RNA. RefSeq lists it as uncharacterized. The record is from RefSeq and is a predicted model, not a curated record. NCBI's taxonomy places the organism in Eukaryota, Metazoa, Chordata, Aves, Passeriformes, Cisticolidae. The transcript has 3 exons.